AUUGAACGCUGGCGGCAGGCCUAACACAUGCAAGUCGAGCGGUAGCACAGAGAGCUUGCUCUCGGGUGACGAGCGGCGGACGGGUGAGUAAUGUCUGGGAAACUGCCUGAUGGAGGGGGAUAACUACUGGAAACGGUAGCUAAUACCGCAUAAUGUCGCAAGACCAAAGUGGGGGACCUUCGGGCCUCAUGCCAUCAGAUGUGCCCAGAUGGGAUUAGCUAGUAGGUGGGGUAACGGCUCACCUAGGCGACGAUCCCUAGCUGGUCUGAGAGGAUGACCAGCCACACUGGAACUGAGACACGGUCCAGACUCCUACGGGAGGCAGCAGUGGGGAAUAUUGCACAAUGGGCGCAAGCCUGAUGCAGCCAUGCCGCGUGUGUGAAGAAGGCCUUCGGGUUGUAAAGCACUUUCAGCGGGGAGGAAGGCGGUGAGGUUAAUAACCUCAUCGAUUGACGUUACCCGCAGAAGAAGCACCGGCUAACUCCGUGCCAGCAGCCGCGGUAAUACGGAGGGUGCAAGCGUUAAUCGGAAUUACUGGGCGUAAAGCGCACGCAGGCGGUCUGUCAAGUCGGAUGUGAAAUCCCCGGGCUCAACCUGGGAACUGCAUUCGAAACUGGCAGGCUAGAGUCUUGUAGAGGGGGGUAGAAUUCCAGGUGUAGCGGUGAAAUGCGUAGAGAUCUGGAGGAAUACCGGUGGCGAAGGCGGCCCCCUGGACAAAGACUGACGCUCAGGUGCGAAAGCGUGGGGAGCAAACAGGAUUAGAUACCCUGGUAGUCCACGCCGUAAACGAUGUCGAUUUGGAGGUUGUGCCCUUGAGGCGUGGCUUCCGGAGCUAACGCGUUAAAUCGACCGCCUGGGGAGUACGGCCGCAAGGUUAAAACUCAAAUGAAUUGACGGGGGCCCGCACAAGCGGUGGAGCAUGUGGUUUAAUUCGAUGCAACGCGAAGAACCUUACCUGGUCUUGACAUCCACAGAACUUUCCAGAGAUGGAUUGGUGCCUUCGGGAACUGUGAGACAGGUGCUGCAUGGCUGUCGUCAGCUCGUGUUGUGAAAUGUUGGGUUAAGUCCCGCAACGAGCGCAACCCUUAUCCUUUGUUGCCAGCGGUUAGGCCGGGAACUCAAAGGAGACUGCCAGUGAUAAACUGGAGGAAGGUGGGGAUGACGUCAAGUCAUCAUGGCCCUUACGACCAGGGCUACACACGUGCUACAAUGGCAUAUACAAAGAGAAGCGACCUCGCGAGAGCAAGCGGACCUCAUAAAGUAUGUCGUAGUCCGGAUUGGAGUCUGCAACUCGACUCCAUGAAGUCGGAAUCGCUAGUAAUCGUAGAUCAGAAUGCUACGGUGAAUACGUUCCCGGGCCU
Molecule: ribosomal RNA, 1361 nt
Filed under: uncultured bacterium
Lineage: Bacteria
Description: bacterial SSU rRNA
Rfam family: Bacterial small subunit ribosomal RNA
Source: RNAcentral